UGUUGUUGGUUUAGCUCUGCAGCUGCUUCUCUCUAAAACUCGUUUCUUGAUUUUUUUUUUCUGACUCGAUCUUUUACACUGUGCUUGUAUCUCUGUAUUGGGUUUCUGUCAUUCUUUUCUGUGAGAUGAUGAUUUCGUCUUAUUAUCUGGUUCUUGCCCCUUUUCUUAACCAAGGCUCGUCUCUUUCUGUCUUCUCAUCUUGUAGAAAUGUUUAAUUUAUUUCUAACGAUCUGUAUUUUUUCUUAUUCUUGAUUUAGGAUCAGUGUGACUGUUUGAAAGCUACAGAGGAGGAAUCUAGAGAGAGUUUGGAAAGAAUCCAGAAAUCAAAUAAGGUUUCUCUCAGAGUCUCAGGAAUCGAAGGUGUGUGUGCAUAGAAAACUUUGAGAAACAAAAUGCAAAAUAUUAUUAUGAAAGUCUCAAUUUGUCAUUGUCUUGUGAUCCUAUGUGUGGCUGAGUUUUUAUUUGUGUACAUUUUCUUUUCCAUUUUUCUGUUGGCAUUGUCUUUUGAGUUUUGAUCUUUUUCCAUUUUGCUGUUUCUUCUUCUUCAUCAUCAAAUGGAGAUCAAAUAAUAAAGUGGCAAACUACUAAGUGAGUCUUUGGUAUAUAGUUUUACCACCUAAUCCUCCAUAAUCAUAGAAAUAAUUUGUGAAAACCAUUUUCUCACAUUAUCAAAGAAGUGUUUUUCCCUUGAGAGUUCCCAUGCUGUUUUUUGAUGCAGUUUCCAUGUUGUUUUGAAUGAUGAGAAAUCAUCUCAUUUCAGAUCUUCAACGCAUGUUUUUAUUUCAUACAUAAUUUUAUAUAUAAAAACACUUAAACAUUAAAUUAAAUUGGUGAAACAUAUAAACUAUAAAUUCAUUUCAGCACACUAAUUUUCAAAAUCUAUUUUUUAAUCAAAUAGCUCUUCUUUUAUAGUUCUCAAAAGCCACUUAAAAUGCAUCUUUUAGUAUUUUAAAACUUAAAAUGCAUCUAUUUCAGUCAAAACUGAAAAGAUAAAAUUAAAUGACCAAACUGUAUAAUCAUUCUUACAAAUACAAUAGACCCUAAGUUAAUGUCUAUUUUUUUUUAUACAGAUGCUUCUGAAUUUUUUUAGGUUGACUAGUGACUACGCUUUCCGCUUGAGUGUUAAUUAGGGAUUUGUCAUUUCAUUUGUCGGAAGCUUAAAAAGAUCUUCUAUAACAAGGUAACAAGGUUCUAUUACUUUUUCAUUUUUAUAAUUGUUAGAUUUAUAAUUUUAUGCAUUAUUUCUUAUAUAAUUUUAUAGUUCG
Molecule: long non-coding RNA, 1265 nt
Filed under: Zostera marina
Lineage: Eukaryota; Viridiplantae; Streptophyta; Magnoliopsida; Alismatales; Zosteraceae
Description: long non-coding RNA (ZMAR_LNC002675)
Source: RNAcentral